RNAcentral lists this long non-coding RNA (785 nucleotides) under Equus caballus (horse). RNAcentral's name for it is "lncRNA (ENSECAG00000034677.3)". The record is from RNAcentral. Lineage: Eukaryota; Metazoa; Chordata; Mammalia; Perissodactyla; Equidae.
GUGAGCAUCAUUGCCCCCUCCUGCUACCUUCAGGCAAUUUAUAGGGUGGAGAUGGAGAGAGAGAUUCUUUUGGCAAAGGGAGGGAGAGGGAAUGCCAACUACUUUUCCUCCCCAGAGAGAUGCUGGGAGAUUCUUAUGAAGUUUCAGGGUGUCAAAAAGGGGCAACUGCAUUUCUUUCCAAGUUGGAUGUGUGCUUAGCCAGCAGGCUUUUCCACCUGUCCAGUGCUACUGGAGCAGGGUAAGGGCAGUGUAGACAGAUGGUUUGGUGGUGGGCACCAGCACAGAAAGGGGGCAAUGACCCUGUCCUGAGUUCUUGAUGACUGAGAGGUACAGAGAUAGGUUCUCGCCAUGCCUGCAGGCACCAAUGUUAGGAAUAAAGAGAGCAGAGGAGAUUGGAAGCCAGAGAUUCUCCGAGGACAACCACAGGAUGUGACCAUAAAGCCCUACGUCUAAGGGCAGAUGCAGGGAGGCUAUCAGUCCCUUCUUGGAACGGUUCUUCAAAAUUUACAGUAUGGAAAGCCCAGCGGUGAUGUUCAAGCCUCUACUGAGAAAACAGCAAGGGCUUUGGAUCAGGACAGACCUGGAGCAAAAGAGAAAGAAAUCAGAUGGAAACGAAUCCAUCCAAGUGGAUUAGGUAGAGCAAGUCAGCUUUCUUUAACCCUGAGCUCAAAUUCCAGCCUCUCCUUGAAAUACAGGUAGUUCUUUAUUUACAGAGCAUUAUGUCAACACAGACUUGUGCAUAUGGGAACUGGACACUUGCUUUGUAUGUUUCUUUGGUAACUGAG